Molecule: non-coding RNA, 379 nt
Organism: Cricetulus griseus (Chinese hamster)
Lineage: Eukaryota; Metazoa; Chordata; Mammalia; Rodentia; Cricetidae
Source: RefSeq, a predicted model, not a curated record
AGAUCUCUGGCUGGACAUCAGAAAUAGCUUUUGAUGGCAUAAAGCCUCCUUCCUGAGACCCCAGGCUUUGACUGGUAGGCACCUGGAUGAGGAAUCCUGGAUCCAGAUCAUCACCCUCCUGCAACAGCAAAGACCAUCCCAUUCCACUAGGUGCAUUCAAGUAAAUCAUCAGGCCAGUACCAAUGGUGGGGUUCUGUCUGUUCAUCCCCAGGUAAAAAUCCUCAGGAGUUUUCCAGACUGGUUCUGCUUCUCAGAUUUCCCAUCAACCACUAGUUUUCUGGUGUUCUUUCUCAUUAAUGAACUUUAUUAUUGACAAUUUCAUGCAUGUGUGCAAUUCAUUACUUUUAUCCAAUUCCCUUUUAUCUUUUCCUCACCCUUA